This 474-nucleotide ribosomal RNA is filed under the name Amynthas sp. Sibuyan. RNAcentral describes it as "partial 16S rRNA". It matches the Rfam family "Bacterial large subunit ribosomal RNA", at positions 1829 to 2597 of the family's 2925-position model. Lineage: Eukaryota; Metazoa; Annelida; Clitellata; Crassiclitellata; Megascolecidae. The record is from RNAcentral.
UGUCUCAUGAAAAUAAUAUGAGAUAAAUCCUGCCCAGUGACAUAAGUUCAACGGCCGCGGUAUCCUAACCGUGCAAAGGUAGCAUAAUCAUUUGCCUAUUAAUUGUAGGCUAGAAUGAACGGACCAACGAAAUGAGGCCUGUCUCAAUUAGUCGCAUAAAAAUUACUUUAUAUUUGAAGAUAAAUAUAUAUCCUCGAAGGACAAGAAGACCCUAUAGAGCUUUAUUAUAUUUGCAAACUAUAUUGCAAAAAAAUUCGGUUGGGGCGACCAUGGAUUUAUUAAUCAUCCACAUAAAAAAGAUAUAUAUAUCAAUUUAAUGACCCUUAAAAGAUCACAAGAAUAAGCUACCUUAGGGAUAACAGGCUAAUCCUAUUCAAGAGUCCAUAUCAACAAUAGGGUUUGGCACCUCGAUGUUGGCUUAGGAUAACUACAUAGCGCAAAAGCUAUAUAAAGAUGGUUUCAACCAAACUUCCU